UAUCCCUACGGAUGACAUUUUGGACACGCAAUAACGUGUUAGACCAUUUGUUGUUGUUUUCUUGACAAUAUUUUCUUUCUUGUUCAUGGAAGACAUAAGUCAAGUUUGUUCAGUAUGGGUUGGAUCAGAAACAGGGCUAUUGAAAGGUGGGGUCUGUGAAUGGCACAGUGAAGAGGUUCAGCACAGAGGAGGGCAUCAUUACUGAGACCAGACAGUCUGGGGAGAGCAACCAGGGCAGGUUCACAGGACUCGCCGCCACAGACCGGUUGGAAUAAAUAUUGUGAAGAAUGUUUGUCGGAUGCGACAGAAUCCCUAACGGCGCAACCAAGUGGCUACAGGAGGGAAAGAGAAUGGCCUGGGAUCCGGAGAGACCUGAAACACCGGUCUUCGCCUCCAAGAAUGUGCGUAAUGACUGGCUGGACCUGCGGGUGCCAGAGUGGGUUAGAGACAUGGCCUUCAUCACAGACUCAGACAAGAUGGACACCUGCACAGCUCAACACCAGGCCUAGAGUGUGUGGGUGUUUUAAAGGGGCUGGCAGGAGGGGUGUGGGGGCUUCAGUUCCACCCUUCUCUCUGGUGGCUUCUUGUGGUUUGGACCGCUUUCUGAGGGUACACAGCCUGGAGGACCGCUCUCUACGGAACAAGGUGUAUCUGAAGUCACGACUCAACUGUGUGCUUCUGUCCAGCGGAGAUCUCGAGCUGGGCAGUACAGGAGUGAACAGAGAUGUGGAGGAAGUAAAAGAAGAUAGAGGAGAACUGGAUAAGGUGUGGAACACUGUGGGGAUGAUAAAAGAGAAGGCGAAGAAAAGAGAAACAGAUGAAGCUGUUGUUGAAGAGGCAGAGAAGAUGAAGCUGUUGUUGAAGAGGCAGAGAAGAUGAAGCUGUUGUUGAAGAGGCAGAGAAGAUGAAGAUGUUGUUGAAGAAGCAGACAAGAAGACUAAGAAGAGGCAUCAAACACUAUUUAUUUCUGAAACAUAUUAUACCCUUAUAUUAAACUAAAUAUGGCUGAUACCGCAGUAGACACGACCACCGAGAUUUCAGAAAAGGAGCUCAAGGAGAGGUGGAGGAGAAGGAUAAUGGCAGUCGGGACGCACCAGCCAACAGCAAUGGAACACACACAAAUGGUGAAGAAAAGACGGAGAUAAAGGGGGUGGAGGUCGGGCUUCCUUCUGAGAAUUCAUAGGCGAGUGAGUAAACUUCCACUACCAUUCGUACUAUUGGCCAUCGUGCAAUCACUGGAAAAUAAAAUGGAUGAUCUACGAUUAAGAAUAUCCUACCAACGUGACAUUAAAAUCUAUACUCUUAUGUUUCACCAAGUCGUGGCUGAACGACGACACGGAUACUAUAGAGCUGGCUGGGUAUUCCGGGCAUUGGCAGGACAGAGAAGCUAUGUCUGGUAAGACGAGGGGCGAGGAGGUGUGUCUUUGUAAAUAAGAGCUGGUGCACAAUUUCUAAUAUUAAAGAAGUCUCGAGGUACUGCUCGCCUGAGAUAGUGUGGUUUACAGCUUAUCAUGAGGUAUUCUAUCUACCAAGAGAGUUCUCAUCUAUAUCUAUUUACCACCCCAAACCGAUGCGGGCACUAAGACCACACUCAACGAUCUACAUAAGGCCCUAAGUAAAGAAAACAAUGCUCAUCCAGAAGCGGCGCUCCUAGUGGCUGGGGACUUUAAUGCAGGCAAACUUAAAUCCGUUUGACCAAAUUUUGACCAGCAUGUCACAUUUGCAACCAGAGGGAUACAUACAAAACUCUCCCUCACCGUCCAUUUGGCAAAUCUGACCAUAAUUCUAUCCUCCUGCUUACAAGCAAAAACUAAAGCAGGAAGUACCAGUGACUUGUUCAAUAUGGAAGUGGUCAGAUGA
This is an RNA transcript of Oncorhynchus kisutch (coho salmon), 1860 nucleotides long. It is a transcript of the gene named WD repeat-containing protein 74, with no coding region annotated. NCBI's taxonomy places the organism in Eukaryota, Metazoa, Chordata, Actinopteri, Salmoniformes, Salmonidae. The transcript has 7 exons. The record is from RefSeq and is a predicted model, not a curated record.